CCGCCGAAGGUGGGAUAGAUGAUUGGGGUGAAGUCGUAACAAGGUAGCCGUAUCGGAAGGUGCGGCUGGAUCACCUCCUUU
This 81-nucleotide ribosomal RNA is filed under the name Solibacillus isronensis. Its description in RNAcentral is "partial 16S ribosomal RNA". It matches the Rfam family "Bacterial small subunit ribosomal RNA", at positions 1453 to 1533 of the family's 1533-position model. The record is from RNAcentral. Lineage: Bacteria; Bacillati; Bacillota; Bacilli; Caryophanales; Caryophanaceae. RNAcentral also lists the same sequence under 2 other names.